This 80-nucleotide transfer RNA is filed under the name Marivirga sericea. RNAcentral's name for it is "tRNA_Pseudo_???". It matches the Rfam family "tRNA". Rfam says of the family: Transfer RNA (tRNA) molecules are approximately 80 nucleotides in length. Their secondary structure includes four short double-helical elements and three loops (D, anti-codon, and T loops). The record is from RNAcentral. Lineage: Bacteria; Pseudomonadati; Bacteroidota; Cytophagia; Cytophagales; Marivirgaceae.
GGCGAGGUAGCUCAGUUGGUUAGAGCGCAGGAUUCUUAUCCGCUAGCUAGCGGACGGCAGUGCAAAUCUGCUUAUCGCUU